AACAAAUAUUAAAGGCAAUGCCUGCCCAGUGAACUAUUAAACGGCCGCGGUACCCUAACCGUGCAAAGGUAGCAUAAUCAUUUGUCUAUUAAUUGUAGACCUGUAUGAAAGGCAAAAUGAGGAUUUAACUGUCUCUUAUAAUCAAUCUAUUAAACUGAUCUCCUAGUAAAAAAGCUGGGAUAUCCUCAUAAGACCAGAAGACCCUGUGAAGCUUUAACUAAACUAUUAAACUCAAUAAUAACUACUUUAGGUUGGGGCGACCUUGGAAACAAAAAGAACUUCCAAACUACACCUAUAAGGCCCACAAGCCAAUAACGACCCAGUAUAGCUGAUUACUGAACUAAGUUACUCCAGGGAUAACAGCGCCAUCUUCUUCAAGAGCCCAUAUCAAAAAGAAGGUUUACGACCUCGAUGUUGGAUCAGGACAUCCUAAUGGUGCAACCGCUAUUAAAGGUUCGUUUGUUCAACGAUUAAUGUCCU
Molecule: ribosomal RNA, 480 nt
Filed under: Rhabdophis plumbicolor (Lead keelback)
Lineage: Eukaryota; Metazoa; Chordata; Lepidosauria; Squamata; Natricidae
Description: partial large subunit ribosomal RNA
Rfam family: Bacterial large subunit ribosomal RNA
Source: RNAcentral